CCCGCUCAGAAACUCAAAUGAAUUGACGGGACCGCACAAGCGGUGGAUUAUGUGGAUUAAUUCGAUGCAACGCGAAAACCUUACCUACCCUUGACAUGUCCUGAAGCCUGGAGAGAUCCGGGUGUGCCCGAAAGGGAACGGGAACACAGGUGCUGCAUGGCUGUCGUCAGCUCGUGUCGUGAGAUGUUGGGUUAAGUCCGCUAACGAGCGCAACCCUCGCUGUAUGUUACAUGUGUCAUACAGGACCGCCGGUAUCAAGCCGGAGGAAGGUGGGGAUGACGUCAAGUCCGCAUGGCCUUUAUGUCCGGGGCUACACACACGCUACAAUGGUCGGUACAAUGGGUUGCUAAGCCGCGAGGUGGAGCCAAUCCCCCAAAGCCGGCCUCAGUUCAGAUUGCAGGCUGCAACUCGCCUGCAUGAAGCUGGAGUUGCUAGUAAACGCGCGUCAGCUAUAGUGCGUUGAAUACGUUCUCGGGCCUU
Molecule: ribosomal RNA, 480 nt
Filed under: uncultured Rhodocyclaceae bacterium
Lineage: Bacteria; Pseudomonadati; Pseudomonadota; Betaproteobacteria; Rhodocyclales; Rhodocyclaceae
Description: bacterial SSU rRNA
Rfam family: Bacterial small subunit ribosomal RNA
Source: RNAcentral